GGUGGUUCUCGAAAGAUGCACCCCAGAAUCGGGCUCCCUCCUUUCUGAUUCCUGGUGCGUCACCUGAGAACCACA
This is a non-coding RNA of Myotis lucifugus (little brown bat), 75 nucleotides long. The record is from Rfam. NCBI's taxonomy places the organism in Eukaryota, Metazoa, Chordata, Mammalia, Chiroptera, Vespertilionidae.